Molecule: ribosomal RNA, 189 nt
Filed under: uncultured bacterium
Lineage: Bacteria
Description: partial 16S ribosomal RNA
Rfam family: Bacterial small subunit ribosomal RNA
Source: RNAcentral
ACUCCUACGGCGUCAGCAGUAAGGAAUAUUGCUCAAUGGGAGAAAUCCUGAAGCAGCAACGCCGCGUGGAGGAUGAAGGGUCUAUGACUUGUAAACUCCUGUAAAGAAGGAAAAAAUUCCCAUUUGAUGGGAGAUGAUGGUACUUCUGGAGUAAGCCCCGGCUAACUACGUGCCGGCAGCCGCGGUAAU